Molecule: ribosomal RNA, 416 nt
Filed under: uncultured prokaryote
Description: bacterial SSU rRNA
Rfam family: Bacterial small subunit ribosomal RNA
Source: RNAcentral
GUGUCAGCAGCCGCGGUAAUACGGGGGGAGCGAGCGUUGUCCGGAAUCACUGGGCGUAAAGGGUGUGUAGGCGUCCCGGUAAGUCUCUGGUGAAAGCCUUCCGCUCAACGGAAGAAUUGCCAGAGAUACUGUCGGGAUUGAGUCCGGGAGAGGGGAGCGGAAUUCCUGGUGUAGCGGUGAAAUGCGUAGAUAUCAGGAAGAACGCCAGAGGCGAAGGCGGCUCCCUAGCCCGGUACUGACGCUGAGGCACGAAAGCGUGGGGAGCGAACGGGAUUAGAUACCCCGGUAGUCCUGGCCCUAAACGAUGAACACUAGGUGUGGGGGGUAGGCAAUUCCCUCCGUGCCGGAGAUAACUUGUUAAGUGUUCCGCCUGGGGAGUACGGCCGCGAGGCUGAGACUCAAAGGAAUUGACGGGG